GACGAACGCUGGCGGCGUGCCUAAUACAUGCAAGUCGAACGCUUCCUACCGGUGCUUGCACCGGGAAAGAAGAGUGGCGGACGGGUGAGUAACAUGUGGGUAACCUACCUACAAGCGGGGGAUAACAUUCGGAAACGGAUGCUAAUACCGCAUAGAUCAUUUUGUCUCCUGACAGAAAGAAGAAAGACGGUUUCGGCUGUCAAUUGUAGAUGGCCCCGCGGCGCAUUAGUUAGUUGGUGAGGUAAUGGCUCACCAAGACGAUGAUGCGUAGCCGACCUGAGAGGGUGAUCGGCCACACUGGGACUGAGACACGGCCCAGACUCCUACGGGAGGCAGCAGUAGGGAAUCUUCCGCAAUGGACGAAAGUCUGACGGAGCAACGCCGCGUGAGUGAAGAAGGCCUUCGGGUCGUAAAACUCUGUUAUAAGAGAAGAACAAAUUGUAGAGUAACUGCUACAGUCUUGACGGUAUCUUAUCAGAAAGCCACGGCUAACUACGUGCCAGCAGCCGCAGUAA
This 515-nucleotide ribosomal RNA is filed under the name uncultured bacterium. RNAcentral's name for it is "partial 16S ribosomal RNA". It matches the Rfam family "Bacterial small subunit ribosomal RNA", at positions 28 to 523 of the family's 1533-position model. The record is from RNAcentral.